Long non-coding RNA from Ictalurus punctatus (channel catfish), 866 nucleotides. RefSeq lists it as uncharacterized. The transcript is spliced from 4 exons. The record is from RefSeq and is a predicted model, not a curated record. Lineage: Eukaryota; Metazoa; Chordata; Actinopteri; Siluriformes; Ictaluridae.
AUAUUCUAUUCUAUUCUAUUCUGUUCUAUUCUAUUUACUCUUAAAUAUCUGGCAGUGGAUUGAAUUGAAUUUCUUAUUGUAUCACUCAAUGUGGAAUUGAAGUGUUCUAUUCUAGUCCAAUCUAUGCAGUCAUAAAUGUUUUGAAGCUGAGUUAAUUUAAUAUCUGCUUUAAACUUAAACAGUCAUUGGAGUGGGAUUUCAAUAUUCUGUUCUAAAGCUUCUUUCCACAUACCCAUACGAAAAGAUGGGAGUGCUUACUGUGAGCAUCACAGGUUUAUGUAAAAUGCAGUGCAUCAGUCCAGGUGCACUACAGCUGGGAGCAAGGUCUUGAGUGGUGCAUUGCUGCUGAAAGAGAGAGGCAAUCAGCAUUAAAACAUGGCUGUGGCGGAUCGCAUGUGGGCCAUAGUGUUGAUUUGCUGCAGUCUCCUUGGGCUCUCCAUGGGAAAGGAAUCUAGCAAGGGAAACCCUUAUUGUAUGUUAAAGGAUGAAAACAAUGAACAAUAUUCUACUGGAUACUACUGGAUAUUUUCAACACAGUAUAGAAAAGGAUCCCAACACUGUCACACCAGGCAACGGUGUACUGUCUCUUUAAAUGUGCUACUGCAAAAUGUUCUCCGUUGAUGUGUUCUGCAAAGCAGCAGAUCUGUCCUGUGAUUCCUUGGAGCUGAAAAUCUGGUAUUAAAUGGUGUCCUGCAGAAGGAGAAUCAACGCCAAAUGUUAGCAUUAUCUCAUGAACUUUUUUUCACAUUAGAGAUGUUCUGGCACAUUUGGUGUAAAUGAAAUGGCAAUAAAAUGCUACAUUGUAGAAGCUUGCGUGGAUUUCUUGAACCUUUAGUUUCAACAGUGGUCAGAGAAAGGUCAUAGAA